CAGUCGCCGCGGGAAUACGAAGGGGGCUAGCGUUGCUCGGAAUGACUGGGCGUAAAGGGCGCGUAGGCGGCUGUUACAGUCAGACGUGAAAUUCCUGGGCUCAACCUGGGGGCUGCGUUUGAUACGUGAUGGCUUGAGUUCGGAAGAGGGUCGUGGAAUUCCCAGUGUAGAGGUGAAAUUCGUAGAUAUUGGGAAGAACACCGGUGGCGAAGGCGGCGACCUGGUCCGAUACUGACGCUGAGGCGCGAAAGCGUGGGGAGCAAACAGGAUUAGAGACCCCCGUAGUCCCUGUCUCUUAUAC
This 301-nucleotide ribosomal RNA is filed under the name uncultured bacterium. RNAcentral describes it as "partial 16S ribosomal RNA". It matches the Rfam family "Bacterial small subunit ribosomal RNA", at positions 509 to 807 of the family's 1533-position model. The record is from RNAcentral.